This 371-nucleotide ribosomal RNA is filed under the name uncultured bacterium. RNAcentral's name for it is "bacterial SSU rRNA". It matches the Rfam family "Bacterial small subunit ribosomal RNA", at positions 527 to 896 of the family's 1533-position model. The record is from RNAcentral.
AGAGGGGGCAAGCGUUGCUCGGAAUUACUGGGCGUAAAGGGCGCGUAGGCGGGAUGGCAAGUCGGUCGUGAAAUCCCUCGGCUCAACCGAGGAACGUCGAUCGAUACUGCUGUUCUUGAGGAUUGCAGAGGAGACUGGAAUUCCCGGUGUAGCGGUGAAAUGUGUAGAGAUCGGGAGGAACACCGGUGGCGAAGGCGGGUCUCUGGGCAAUUCCUGACGCUGAGGCGCGAAAGCGUGGGGAGCAAACGGGAUUAGAUACCCCGGUAGUCCACGCUGUAAACGAUGACGACUAGGUGUGGGGGGGUUCAGUCCCUUCCGUGCCGCAGCUAACGCAUUAAGUCGUCCGCCUGGGGAGUACGGCCGCAAGGUUG